This is a long non-coding RNA of Populus trichocarpa (black cottonwood), 1163 nucleotides long. RefSeq lists it as uncharacterized. NCBI's taxonomy places the organism in Eukaryota, Viridiplantae, Streptophyta, Magnoliopsida, Malpighiales, Salicaceae. The record is from RefSeq and is a predicted model, not a curated record. The transcript is spliced from 3 exons.
ACGGGGGGAGGAAAAAGGAAGAAAAACUGGGGAGUGAAAGGGGGGAAAACAGUGGGAUUUUGGACGAGAAACCGAGAAAAAAACUUCAGCUAAACCCAGACAAAAAACCAGAGAAGAAAAUCAGAGCAAAGAAGAGAGAAAAAGCAGAGCACAAAUCCAAAGCAAUAAUACACAGAGAGAGGGGAAAAGAAACCGAAGAAAAGCAGGGAAAACAGGGGAAGCACACAGGGAGAUGAAGAAAAAAUGAAGACUGGGAACUAACACAGAAAAACAGAGGAAAAAUAAAACCCACGGACGAAGAACAAAGAAAAAAACAGAUACACAGAGAGAGAGGGAGAGAAUCCUGAGAGCAGAAGAAAGCAAGAGAUAAAGCGGAAGAAGGGAGAGGACGUUGCUCGGCCAGAUCGUCACCAGAGUUUCCAUCUUCGGUCUUCAAGGUGCAGGUCAGUAGCACAGACGACGUUGCUCGGCCAAGUCGUCACCAGAGUUUUCAUCUUCGGUCUUCAAGGUGCAGAGCAGUGGACCCAAUUGGGAACUCCCAUUAGGAAGAAAGGACAAAGACUGCGAACCUGAGUGGCUCAAACAACAACAUUCCCACUCUCAACUCUACUAUCCAAAACCUCAUAACAUUUUUCAAGCGUCAAGGCCUUAAUGAGGUCGACCUUGCUGCUCUCUAAGGAGGGCAUACAAUUGGGGUGGCAAGGUGUGUGACCUUCAAACAGAGACUGUAAAACCAAAAUGGAAACAACCAACCAGAUCAGACUCUAAAGAAAAACUAUUUCUUAGAUCUGAAGUCAGUAUGUCCAAGAUCAGGUAGAGACGAUAACCUUUCUCCUUUGGACUUGGCCUCUUCAGCAAAAUUAGACAACUCUCACUUCAAGCUCUUACUUUGGGGCAAAGGGCUUCUCACUUCUAAUGAAGUGCUUUAUACAGGAAAGGAUGGCAAGACUAUUCAGUUGGUUAAGAGAAAUGCUGAAGAUGAGGGCCUGUUCUAUGAGCAUUUUGCCAAGUCUAUGGUUAAGAUGGGAAACAUUAGCCCUCUUACAGGUUUUAAUGGUGAAGUUAGGAGGAAUUGUCGCCUUGUUAAUUAGAAAAAAAAAUAGUUAUCAUGUAAACAUGUGAAGAACAUAUUGUAUUAUAAAUGUAUUGUAUUUGAGCUUUAA